UCUCAAGUGAUGCGGCUCACGGCAUCUUCCAGAUUCUCAUGUUGAUUGAUUAGAUGCUUGGGGUGCUGUCAAAUCCUCUAUAGCAUAGCCUAUGCUUGUGUUUCAAUGUUUGCUUAAAAUACAAUUCCUGUCUUAACUAUUUAAAAACAUGCGACUCCUCAUUCAGUUACUUGGGAGUUGGGGACUGUCACGGAAACACCUCUCCAAUGAAAGGCAUGUUCUCAGGAACUGCACCGGCUGUACAGCUCAAAGAAAAUAAAAAGCAGCCCCGACAUCAACACAGAACAGCUGCACAGGUGCCUUAGUCUUUCAGAAGACCUACAUUCAUUUCCCAGUACCCAGUUCACAACUGACUCUGCCCUGAGGUGUACUUCUGUCCAGAUGAGAAGAUGGCUGACAGUGUGGAUGGGUCCUUCAUCUGCUUCAUUCAUAAAUAUGGUGACAUGGAUUUUGCCGGAGACUGCUUAAAACACAGCCAGACUAGAAAUGCUGAGACUAUGGGAUUUCUGGUGGAACAGUUCCCCAAAUACAAUGCCUCCAAUUAACCUCUUGUUAUUACCAACAUGUUACUAUAGCAGAAAUUAUUCUGAUAAAAUGAAGUCUCUAUCUAUCUAUCUAUCUAUCUAUCUAUCUAUCUAUCUAUCUAUCUCCACCUCCAGCCUCCCUCCUCUCCUUGUCACUAUGACCUCAACAAAAUAUACAUUUUUAAAAAUUCAUAGAAAGUGAGACAAUGGAUAAAGAAGUGAAAAUCCAAGCUUUAUUCUCAAAGCCCUAUUAAACUACUGGGGAAUUUAAAGAAGACAGAGUCAGAGUCUAUUCAGAAAUAUCCCUCCAGCAAUGACAUGGAGACUAAAUUAUUAAAAGAGCAUCCUUGGACCAAAAUCAACCAGCAGUUUGCUUAGUAACUUAGGAGAGUAGAAGAGAGAGCCCAAACAAAGACAAUAGUUUUUGUAGUGGUUAAAUAGAAGCCAAGUGAUACUCAUAAUCCCUACACAGAACUUAUUAACAAUAUUUGUAGCUCCGGUGAACGAACACAGGCGAUAAGAAAAGAAUAGUCUCAUAUGAUUCUGUGAUACGAAAUGAGAAGAGGUGUAGAAGUCAACUAACAGACAGUGUAUUUUGAAGAAAAGACAAUGAAGUCAGCAUUGGUUUAAUGAAAUCUGAGUGGGAGGAACAUCUCAGAAGGAGGUCAUGCACAGCUAAAGCACAGAGUUAGGUGAAGGAUGGACUUGGGAGAAGUCACUGAAUCCAUUUUUUUUUUAAUGAGUUCAUCCAGAAGAACAAACAUCAGAAGGGCAGAGCAUUCAGAAUUCUGAGGAACACUAAGGGGUGGGAGAAACAAAGAAUCUGACAAACGUACCAAGAAAUGAGGACAGUGUAAGAUCAUGAGGUCAACGUAUGUCAGUUUGAGGAAAAGAGUGCUCCACAAAGUCAAAUGCCACAGAGAAUGUGGAGAAGAUGCUGUUAGCAGACCUGGAAAUAAGUGGGCCCUGGGGAUUCUCAGGAGAUCACUUUGCAGGUAUGGACAGAGAAUGGAAAGCAGCCUGCCGGGACAGUGAACUUUGAACAAGGAGAUCCUGUGGCUUAGAUGGGACAUUGACUCCUCUCUCCCCACGAGCUCCAUGGAGAAGCUCAUCUGAUAAUGCAGUGUGAAAGGCCAGCUACGUGUGAAUGCCUUCCGAGUGAGCUUCUCUGUGCCAGAUCUCUGUGUGAGAUGGCAUCAAAAGUGCAGUGAUUCGUGAAGUAGACUGCACUCAACACUCAGCAAACUGCCACUCUUUGCACAGGUGAUGCCUUUCUGUGGUUUCCAAGGAAAAUGUCAGAGUUUGCGCUCAUGUUGUGCUCAUGUUCUAAAGUUCUCUUAUUUUCUUAAGUUCACGUGUGUAUGCUGGGGGUUGGGAGACACCUAAUCAUAAACAAGACAAUAAAUUUUGCAGAUUUCAGUCACUUCGGUGGCUCUAGAGUGAAUAGAGGUAUGUGUACACACACAUACACACACGUUCGCAUGUGUGCUCAUAGAGACAUUACAGUGCUUAUAUGCAGAAGGUAAUCAGUUAUUAAACACACAGAGGAGACCCUAUUGAUUAAGUAGCUGGCUGAAAAUGUGUGUUAGACCAAAGCAAAGACAUAAGUUUUAUCGGAAAUACUCUCUUUCUAGAAAAAAGAAUCUAAUAUUUCAGAUUUCUGAGAAGGGGCUGGCAAUCUUUUGUUGUGUUGGAUUAUUUCAAUACUGCCAUUUGCAAAUUCAUCUCCUCAUAAUGGAGAGAGGGUUAAGGAAGUCUGAAGCAGGAUGAGAGAAGCUGAUUAUAGGAAUUCUGCCCAGUGGGAUGGAAGAUGGGUGCGACCAGGUGGAAGAGAAGGCCCAGCUCAAACCUGGGGAAUGGUAAUUACAGAUUGGCAUAGGACUGGCUGUCUAUACAGCAGCAGCUUGGGACUACACUGGCCAUGGAUGAACUAGGACAAUAUAGGAAGAAAGUGGCAAGGCAUGCAACUCUAGGAAAGGCUAGAUAUGAAAGAGAGUAAGGGGAAGGCCAAGUGGGGACAUCAUAGAGGAUCCAAGGACUCCAAAAGACCAAAGAGAAUACCCAGAACAGAAGAGAUCAAAGAACUGAAGGCUGAAUUAGGAGGUCUAGCGGAAGGUAUUAGAGCCCUUCUGAGCACACUUUUCAGAAUCAAAAUAAAUCACCCUGAUCUAUCUUUCAAGGCUUGCACCUUUUUCCUGCAAUUGCUCACUAUUAAAAGAGAUGCUCAGCCUAACAACAAACUCCCUCUGGCCAUUUUGUUCAUCACAGCACAUACCCUACCGUAAAAGAAGUAAGCUUGUCGUCUAUCAACCAUGCUUCCUCAAAGUUUCAGUGGCAAACAUGGUUCUGACUUCUUUGUUGUGACUUGUCGGGUACUUUAGAAUGGCAAACUGGCUGCAGAAAACUACUCAGCUAUUAGGAAAUCAUAAAAUUUGCAGGCAAAUGGAUGGAACUAGAAAAGAUCAUCCUGAGUGAGGUAACCCAGAAAUAGAAAGACACACAUAGUAUAAACUACUUAUAAGCAUAUAUUAGCCAUAUAAUAUAGGAUAAACAUACUAAAAUCUGCAGACCUAAAGAAGAUAAACACUAAGGAGGGCCCCACAGAGGAUGCUUAAAUCUCAUUCAGAAUGGCGAACAGGAUAGACCCUGGAAGCAGUGGAAGAGAGGAAAUAAGAUGGGAGCCUACUCUAGAGGGUCCUCCACCCAACAAGGAAUCAAAGUAGAUGCUGAAACUCACAGCCAAACUUUGGGCAGAGGGCACAGAGUCUCAUGGAAGAAUAAGAGUGGGGAUGGAAGGAUAUGGAGGGGACAGAAGCCCCACAAGGAGAUCAACAAAGCUAAAAAUUCUGAGCCCAGGGGGUCCUGCAGAGACUGAUGCACCAACCAAGGACCAUGCAUGGAGAGGACCUUGACCCCCUGCUCAGUUAUAGCCAAUUGGCAGCUCAGGCUCCAUGUGGAUUCCUGAGUAAGGGGAACAGGGGCUGCCUCUGUCAUGAACUCUGUUGCCUGCUCUUUGAUUACUUGGCCCUGACGACGUGACCUUACCAGGUCACAGAGGAAGGGGAUCCAGGCAAUCCUGAUGAAACUUGACCAGCUAUGGGCAGAUGGAAAUAGUGGAAAAGUCUUCCUUUCAGUGGACGAGGGGAAGGGGAUAGGAGGGAAGAGAGAGGAAGGGUAAGACUGGGAGGGGUCCAGGGACGGGGCUUCAAUUGGGAUAUAUAAUGAAUAAAUUAUGAAAAAAUAAAAAGAAAAAUGAAAGAAUGGCAAAGUGAUAGACAUUUUAGUAUAAUUAAAUACUACCUCUUCCUAUGAGCACAGCAAAAAUAGUGAUAUAGUAAACAGAUGAUUUAAUGUAUCAAUAUUUCCACCACUGUUAACUUCACUUUCCAUCAGAGGCUCAGUAUAUAUGAGUGUUCUUUAGCAUACAAACUGAAUAUUUUAAUGUGUGGCUACAAGAUUAUAGGAUACCAACCAAGUAGCACUGCAGCUAAUUCUUGUUCAACAUUAUUUAUUCAUAAAGAACUUUAAGUCCACUGAUUAAUCCCUUUUCUGACCUCAAAUCUCUUCUAACUAUCAUUGUUUAUUUGUAUUUCAAUUAAUUAGCUAAGGUGCAGAGAGAUAAAGAUUACAGACUUAAAAGCCAACCAAGUCUAUGUUCCUCAGUCUUUUUAACUUCCAAGUUAAAAAUUACAUUCAUAAUCUUAAUAAUAAUACUUUAAUUAGGUACAUGCAUACCGUUUGGUUUAAAAAUGUAUUUCUUGUUGUUCUGUCUACCUUUUUCAUCUGACCAUCACACAUCAUUACUCACUGCGCUCUACACAAAGGUUAAAAUGUGGAAGUAUAUGAUAGAACAAAGCAAGCAGCCAAAACCAUCCAAGCCAUCCUUGCUCCCAACUAAUAGUCAUUAUUGAACGCUCUGCUUAUUCUUGUUUAGUUGUUAACAUUUUCCUUUUUAUUUAUUUAUUUUUAUUUUUACAAUUUAUUCACUUUGUAUCCCACCUGUAGCCCCCUCUCCCCUCUCCUGUCCCCACCCUAUUUUACCCUCCCUCCCUCUUCUCCCACCAUGCCCCUCUCCCAGUCAUUUAACAAGUAUCUUCAUGAAAAUUUCUAAUGCUAAGGAGGGACUCUUUCAAAAUUCACCCCUCCUGAGUUAUUUUCUGUAAGGUAAAUGUGUACAAUUUAUUUAUACAGACUACUAAAAUAGUCUUAAAAGCAUAAAUGAUGUGAAUUAUCAAGAUGCUCACUGAAACAGUCUGAAUAUUGAUGCUACAGUUUGUUGAGAACAUGUGAUAUUUAAAUGCAUAGCCCAAUGCCCCCUGAUAGCAUGCUUUAUAGUAAGAAAUUUUAUAUAGCUGUCUCUUUCACUCUAGUCAAAGGCUUUAUUGCUAAGAACAAUUACUCAUAAUAUGACCAGAAAACAUAAAGUAAAGCCAAUGUAAGCUUCCUGUCCCGUGAUCAAUCACAAAUUUAAAAAAAUUAGCAUGGUAAAUUAAGUGACUCUAACAUAGAGAAAAUAUGAGUGUUAGGCUAUCUGAAGAAAUGUGUCAUUCUUUUAAAGUCUUUGCAAACUUUCUGCCCCUAACUUUUAUCUAAACUUACCGUUGAAUUUAUUUUUCUUUGUGGUACAUGAGAUAACAUCUAAAUCCUGAACAUUUACAAAACAUUUUCACAUGAAAAGUAAGAAUCUGGGGGGAGUUCGGGAACAGCACAUAAAUAAUUCUUCCUAACAAUAACAGGAUCUUCAGAUUCUCAAUGUAAAUACAUUAGGCUACUCAACCAACAUAAACCAGACUUUAUAAAAAUAUGCUUAGAGCAGACAAUAACCUCAUUAUGUCUUCUCCAUAAAAAUCCAAGACCAUAAUAUACGUAUAAAUCAUUCUUUCCAUUUUUACAGUGUUAUUUUUGUCUUGCCCAAGUUUGGAAGUUCAUUACCAAAUCAAGUUUCUGAAGGGACAUUAUAAUUGAUACCUAAAAUGGCUUCCUUUAAAACUAGCUCAAAUAGUAAGUUCAGCCAAAUUUUCUUGCCUCUCAUAAAAAUUUCUAUUCAGUGUUUUGUUUUUGUUUUCUCUCAUAAAUUCUCUCUAGAAGGACUGUCACUACUGGCAAGGUCAACUCUGUUUACAAUAAAAACAUUGCUAAUUAAAUUGGUUACAAGAUAUCUAAGAAGACACUGUCAGAUGUCUAUCAUCAAUGCUUCAGAAAGACAGCUGAGAUGAGGCUUUCUUAGGAUGCUCUAAAGUUGGAAUAAAGUUUCAGUCUUAUUGAACUCUAUGUGCAUCAAGAAAAUGUGAUUGUGUUGUAGCCUAUAAAUACAUUGCCAACUCUAGCUAUCACUGAGACAUCUCAGUCUAGGAAGUCAAACACUGUAGCAUGUCACUUUCAAACUUCUCUCCCUGGGCCCAGGGAAAUAAGUGCAGAUUUUGAAUAAAGUUAUUUAAAGUAGAUUCUGGUAUACAGCCACCCACUUCCUCCUGAGUCAAAUUUAUCUGUUCGAAUGUCUCCAGUCAAUCUGACCACUUCAACCUGACAGGCAAGCCAACCAAAUCAGCAAUCAGCAGGCCAAAAAAAUCUGUCAAAACCGUUGCCUUCAGUGGUGAUUACAUUUUGACUGACUUGAGCGGGCAAGUUAAUCAAAACAG
Long non-coding RNA from Meriones unguiculatus (Mongolian gerbil), 6163 nucleotides. RefSeq lists it as uncharacterized. The record is from RefSeq and is a predicted model, not a curated record. Lineage: Eukaryota; Metazoa; Chordata; Mammalia; Rodentia; Muridae. The transcript has 4 exons.